RNAcentral lists this ribosomal RNA (253 nucleotides) under uncultured bacterium. Its description in RNAcentral is "partial 16S ribosomal RNA". It matches the Rfam family "Bacterial small subunit ribosomal RNA", at positions 524 to 776 of the family's 1533-position model. The record is from RNAcentral.
GACGUAGGAGGCGAGCGUUGUCCGGAUUCAUUGGGCGUAAAGAGCGCGCAGGCGGCUUGGUAAGUCGGAUGUGAAAUCCCGGGGCUCAACCUCGGGUCUGCAUCCGAUACUGCCCGGCUAGAGGUAGGUAGGGGAGAUCGGAAUUCCUGGUGUAGCGGUGAAAUGCGCAGAUAUCAGGAGGAACACCGGUGGCGAAGGCGGGUCUCUGGGCCGAUACUGACGCUGAGGAGCGAAAGCGUGGGGAGCGAACAGG